This 7683-nucleotide long non-coding RNA is filed under the name Lactuca sativa (garden lettuce). Its description in RNAcentral is "long non-coding RNA (LSAT_LNC007429)". The record is from RNAcentral. Lineage: Eukaryota; Viridiplantae; Streptophyta; Magnoliopsida; Asterales; Asteraceae.
UAACGCCCGGGUUUCAGGGCUAAGCAUUUUUGUCAAUGUAAUAGUCUAGGUCAACUCUUGUAACUCUUUUUGAAGUAAUAAAGAUGAAAUAUUUGAGUAUUAUGUGAAUUAUAUGUGUUUAUUAUUUAAUUAUAAAUGUAUAAUUAAUAAAGAAUAAAAAUGAGCGUCAAAAUUAAAGUGUGAGAUAAUCCCGAUAUCUCUACAUAAAGUUGUAGAAUAUCUCUCAAGGUUUCCGUGCAUAUAAGGAACGCCGAAAUCCGAGUUAUAACGAAGAAGUUAUGACCCGUCGAAGUUUCACGACAGAACCGGCACGAUACCGGGAAGCGUGAAUAGUGAAUUUACGAUAGAGCGAGAUUUAGCCUUAGUGAUCUAAACGAAAGUCGUAGAAUAUGUUAAACUAAGAACAUCGAUAAAAAGAACGCCCAAAUCUGACUUCGUAUGAAGAAGUUAUGAGAUUUUAAACAGACCAAUCCUGUCCCGGCUUGUUAAAAAUAUAACUUUAAAAAUAAAGUCAAAAUUAGCCGACGGAGUCUAAACGAAAGUUGUAGAGUACGUCUUCACCUACGCGUGGAUAUAAAGAACGUCAAAAACGGAGUUCGUAUGAACGAGUUACAAAUUAUAAUAGCAUAUUUACGUAUUAAAAUAAAGUAUAAAUCAUGUAUACGUACACAUAUAUAUACAUAUGUAUAUAUCAUUAGAAAGGUAUCGACGAUGCGGUCAUUAUAAGACUAAUGUUGAGUUCUUUCGACAUUAGUUUAGUACAAAUAUCAUUAAAUCCAUUUAUAAUAGUAUUAUAGAGGGGUGUUUAGUUGUUUAUAUAACUAAAAGGUCAUUAAGUAAUUAUGGAGGGUAGUUUUUGAAAAUUCAAUUAGUAUAAAUAAGAGCCUUGGGCUCUCAUAUUUCUUGCACCAUUCUCUUGAUUCAAGAGUCUUUCUCUCCUUAUCCCCCGAGCAUUUCGGUCCCUCGUGAUUCGACUUCUCUUUCUGUAGCUUAGUAUAGUAAGGUGAGCGCUGAAGCGCUGCACGAAUCUUUCUUAGAAAGAUUCAGCGACGAAGUUCUGCCCCUGCAGAGCCCGACUCCUAGCUAAAACCCCCUUGUAAGUAAGUUAUGCUUACCUUAUUUUAAUAUAGCUUAUAUUUAAAAUUAGUAUUGUUAUUAUGAACUUAUAAUAAAUAUUUGAGCUAUUAUUAUAACUUAUAUAAGUGUCGUUAUAAAUUUUUUUUUAACUACUCGCGGUACGGGGAAUCUGGUUUAAAGGGCCGCAUAGGGUUGUUGGAUUUCAGAAGUGCUAUAUGCCAAAAUGGUCCUGCCCUCCGGUGUUUUAUGUCUGGCCCCUGUCUGUACAUAGUGGUUGGAAAAUAUUGUUUAACGCUUAUAUAAUAAUAAUAAUACUAAGACUAAUAGUUGGUCACGGUAAAUAUUAGACUAAAAUUUAGCGAUAAUAAUGCUAGGUUUCGUCGAAGGAAAAUAGAAUCGUUAGAAGCAAGCGCUGCCCGAUUUUGGAAUCAUCACCUUAACAAGUGAGUGCAUAGUUACUUUCAACUUACACAUAGAUAUGAAGUAUUUUAUAUAAAUUACGUGCUAUGUGUGCAUAUUAUCUGAAUACUUGCUAUCUAUGCUAGAUGAACGUUGUUAUACAUGUUUUCAAUGAUUUAAACUGUAUAUGUAUUUUAUAUCUACGAAAAUGUUGGGGUAAAACAUGGGUAGAUGCAAUAGGUGAUGUGUGAUAAAAUGAUGAGAGGCCUCGAUGUUGAUGUUGUUGAUUCUGUCAUCUAGCGGAGUAUGGAUGACGACCACGGACUCUUCUAGACAGUCCAGUGGAACACUAGCAGGCUCGCAACCUGUAGGUGUUUGUGAACGAUAUGUUCACCGGUGUACUCCAUCCCCCACAUGGUUGCCUUUAGGACAUUUAUUGCUGAGGAAUCCCCUUAGCAGUAGUGUCCGUCCCGAUGAUGAUCCUUAGGCUAGGUCCCUUAUGAUAGGUGUUUAGGGACGUAAAGUGAGGAUAACGGGAACGGGUAAUCGGGUUAUUGUUGAUCGAUGAAAUUAAUAAACUUAUUUAUUGUGGGUUGAAAACCCUAUGUGCUCACCAGGCUCCCAAGCCUGACCCACUCAGUUUUAUGUAUUACAGGUAGUGGCGCAUGAGCAUAGGUGUGAUGUUUUGGACGAGGGAUUACGGAUAUAGGCCUGUAGAUAUGAAAUAAUGUAGUAAGGCUUAUAUUGUACUGUUUAUGCUUUUGAUCUGUACGAACAUGACAUCCCGAGUCUUUUAAUGAAAUACAUUUCUAUGGAAAUGCUUUUGAUAAAUCUUUAUCAUAUUUUUGUUUUGGGACAAAUUCCGCAACACUUUCAUUUAAAAUGUAACUCUGAUUUUUAAACAAAGCAUAAACAAACCGGUCUUUUCUGGCCGUGAUUUUGGGGAUGUCACAGUUGGUAUCAGAGCAUUAGUUUAAGCGAACUAGGAAUUUGUAGGAUUUCUAGACUUAAACUUAGAAUGCUAAGCGAUGAUUGUGAGGUGUGAGCACUAGCUUAUUUUAGGAAUUGUGCCUAAAAUGCUUUUAUGUGCUAAAUGCUUUGUGCAUAAUAUGCUGUUAAUUGUUCGGAUCUAUGGUCUGUUGCCGACCGGAUCUGGAAACCUUAUGUGUUUAGGAUUCUAAACGUACGACUACGAUAUUAGAACUAGCAUGUAAACGUUUCGGAGUGAUAAGGACGAUUUAAAACGUCUAUCCUAAAUAAAGAUCUAAAUUCACCUUAUUCGGUGUAUAGAUCAAGAUGGCAAGGACCCGUAGCGGAAACGUGAACGCAAAUGGAGGUAGGAACCAACCCCCAGUGGUUCAGCAAAUACCUGUUGUUGAAGAAGUUGCACCUGAGCCAGUCACCAUGGCUGGAGUUCAAGCCAUGAUUCAGGCUAUGCUAGCUGAACAAAGGGAAGAAAUGAGACGGAUGCUCCACGAAAAUAGGGACGAACCUACCAUACAUGUUGAACCGACGGAGCCAGUUCCCGAGCCAUCUGAGGAAGGGAACUAUAGCCGCCAAGUGAGUCAAGUAGGGACUCAAGGUGAGCAAAAGGAUGGCCCAGAAGGGAGAAACAACAAGGAUGGGCGGAUGUACAAAAAUUUCUUGGGUGCGAAACCACCAAGUCUCUCAGGAAGCCCAAAGCCUGUUGAGAUUAUGGACUGGAUCUCCGAGAUGGAGAUGGUGUUUGAGAGCUGCGACUGCAGCGAGAAGCAGAAGACUGUCUUCGCUGUGAGACAAUUGAAAACUGGAGUCUUGAGCUGGUGGAAGCUAUUGGCAGAUACAAUGCCACGGGGAGAAGCUCUGAAAAUGUCAUGGGAUGAGUUCUUGGAACAACUGAAGGCGCAGUACUGUUCAGAGAUAGACCUGAUUGAUCUGAACAAUGAGUUCCAAAAUUUGAAGAAGGGGAGAAUGAGCAUCGAUGACUAUGCUGCUGCAUUUACGGAAAAGAUGAAGUUGUUUCCAUACCUAGUGCCAACCGAACUUUCCAAAAUUGAGAAAUUCGCAAACGGACUGCCGGCUGACUUUGGCCCAACAGUCAAGAUGGCAACCACUCUGAAAUCAGCUGUUCGAGCAGCUAAGAACGUGGAGACCCAACAAAAGGAAAGAGGUCUGGAGAGGGCUGAGGUUGGUGAGAAACGGAAGUUCAAUGGAUCCUCGAAGUCCAACAAGAAGAGUAGAUUCUCGAAGUCUGGUUCGAGGGGAGGAGGAUCAGAAGCGAAGUGGUGUGACAAGUGCAAGAAGAAGCACUCUGGGAAGUGUGACGGAGGGGUCACUUGUUACAAGUGCGGAAAGCCUGGGCACUACGCCAAUGAAUGCACCCUCAACCAGAAAGCCUGUUAUGGGUGCAAUGAAGAAGGGCACAUUUUGAAGGACUGCCCGAAGAAGAAGGAGACAGGAAGACCCAACAUACCACCGAAGCCGAAGGCGAGAGCCUUCCAGAUGACGCUCGAGGCUGCAAAGGAGGCAGCAGACGUCGCUUCAGGUACCUUUCUUGUAAAUGGUUUGCCUGCAAAUAUACUAUUUGAUUCCGGAGCCAACUACUCCUUUGUGUCGCAUAAAUUUGGUGGGAAAUUAGCAUUGCCUGUAGAAAAACUAGAUAAUGCCCUGAUUGUAGAAGUUGCCAGUGGCAAAUUCGUACCUGUUAGUAAUCGUAUUAGGAACAUCGUCAUUGACCUAAACGGAAACGAAUUCCACGAAGAGCUAUUACCCAUAGAGUUAAACGGUUUCGACAUCGUUUUGGGUAUGGAUUGGCUUAGCGCCAACGAUGCUGAGAUUCAAUGCCGAAAGAAGAUAGUAAAGGUAAACCCACCCGGAAAAGAAUCAUUUAUGGUGUAUGGGGACAAACGCAGAGUGAAUUCUGGAAUCAUCUCCCUGAUGAAAGCCAGGAAAUGUUUGUCCAAAGGAUGUGCAUCAUACUUGGCAUUCGUAAUCGAUGCCAAGAAGGAGAAGAAAGAGGUGCAGAAUAUACCGGUUGUGUGUGAUUAUCCGGAAGUCUUUCCCGAAGAUCUUCCCGGAUUACCACCUGAUAGGCAAGUGGAGUUUCGUAUAGACUUGUUACCAGGAACAACACCGAUAGCAAAGGCACCUUACCGAUUAGCACCGACGGAGAUGAAGGAGCUCAUGACGCAACUUCAGGAGCUGUUGGACAACGGUUUUAUUCGACCUAGUUCAUCACCCUGGGGAGCUCCGGUGUUAUUCGUGAAGAAGAAGGACGGAAGUAUGAGAAUGUGUAUAGACUACCGAGAGCUGAAUAAGGCAACGGUGAAGAACAAGUAUCCAUUGCCGAGGAUUGAUGACCUAUUCGAUCAGCUGCAAGGUUCGAGCUACUUCUCAAAGAUCGAUCUUAGGUCAGGAUAUCAUCAGCUAAAGGUGAGAAAGCAGGAUAUUGAGAAGACUGCAUUCAGAACGAGAUAUGGACACUACGAGUUCUUGGUUAUGUCAUUCGGGCUAACCAAUGCUCCCGCAGCAUUCAUGGAUUUGAUGAAUAGGGUUUGUAAACCAUUCCUCGAUAAAUCCGUGAUAGUGUUCAUCGACGACAUUCUCAUCUACUCGAAAAGCCAAGAGGAGCAUGGCAAGCAUCUACGGGAAGUAUUAGAAGUGUUGAAGAAGGAGAAGCUUUUUGCAAAGUUCUCCAAAUGCGACUUUUGGAUACGGGAAGUCCAAUUCUUGGGUCAUGUUGUUAACCAGGAGGGAAUAAUGGUUGACCCCGCAAAGAUCGAGGCUGUAAUGAAGUGGGAACGUCCAAAGAGUCCCACGGAGAUUCGAAGCUUUCUAGGAUUAGCCGGAUAUUAUCGACGAUUUAUCCAAGGCUUUUCUUCGAUAGCUGCUCCAUUAACAGCUUUGACUCAUAAAGGAGCUACGUAUACGUGGAGUGAGAAACACGAUGAGGCAUUCGAGAAGCUAAAGAAGAAGUUAUGUGAAGCACCGAUACUUUCUCUACCCGAUGGAGUCGAAGAUUUCGCGGUUUAUAGUGACGCUUCUGGAGUCGGGUUGGGUUGUGUUCUGACCCAAAGAGAAAAGGUGAUAGCAUACGCAUCUCGACAAUUGAAAGAGCACGAAAAGAACUACCCCACUCAUGAUCUGGAGUUGGCAGCGGUAGUUUUUGCCUUAAAGAUAUGGAGGCAUUACCUCUACGGCACGAAGUGCAAGCUCUUCACUGAUCAUAAGAGUCUCCAGUAUCUCUUUAAUCAGAAGGAGUUGAACAUGAGGCAACGACGCUGGCUAGAACUUCUCAAGGACUACGACUGUGAGAUACUUUACCACCCAGGUAAAGCAAAUAUUGUUGCUGAUGCUCUCAGUCGGAAAGUCAAUCUGGAAAGGAAAAGGCCAAGAGCGUUAAGAAUUGAAGUCGUCUCGACGAUUGUGGAAAGUAUCAGGAAAGCUCAAGAAGAAGCUUUAGAGAAAAAUGACCGAAAGGAAGAACGUUUGGGAAGAACGUUAGUGUUCGGUACAAACAGUCGAGGACUGAAGGUAUUCCAAGAUCGAAUUUGGGUACCUAAGACGGGAGGAAUAAGAGAUCUUCUGAUGGAAGAAGCACACAAGACCAUGUACUCGAUUCAUCCCGGUAGCACUAAAAUGUAUAGGGACCUAAAACCCUACUACUGGUGGCCGACGAUGAAGCUCGAUGUUGCGAAGUAUGUGGCCGAGUGCGUAACAUGUGCGAGGGUUAAGGCACAACAUCAGAAACCGUAUGGGAGUUUAGAACCUUUACCUGUACCCAUGGGUAAAUGGGAAGACAUCACCAUGGAUUUUGUGACUAAACUGCCCAGGACGAAGAACGGUCACGACAUGAUUUGGGUAGUCGUGGAUCGUUUCACCAAGAGUGCACACUUCAUAGCAGCCAACGAGAAGUGGUCUAUGGAUAAGCUCGCAAAUGCUUACGUGAAGGAAAUUGUAAGACUUCACGGUGUCCCUCUUACGAUUGUAUCAGAUCGUGAUAGUCGUUUCACGUCAAGGUUUUGGAGGAGUCUACAAGAGGAGUUAGGUACAAAGUUGUGUUUGAGUACUGCUUAUCAUCCGCAAACUGAUGGUCAGAGCGAAAGAACGAUUCAGACGCUGGAAGAUAUGCUGAGAGCAUGUACCCUCGAAUUCCAAGGGAAUUGGGACGAGCACUUACCUCUGGUAGAAUUUUCCUACAACAAUAGUUUUCACUCGAGCAUCAAGAUGGCUCCUUAUCAAGCCUUGUAUGGGCAGAAGUGUCGUACGCCGUCUUGUUGGCUUGAAGCCGGAGAGAAGCAGUUUAUGGGCCCCGAGAUAGUCCAUGAGACUGCUGAGAAGUUGAAGGUGAUUAGGGAAAGGAUGUUAGCAGCCCAGGAUCGUCAGAAGAGCUAUGCUGACAAGAAAAGACGACCGAUAACUUUCGAAGUUGGGGAUUCCGUUUUGCUUAAAGUCUCACCGUGGAAGGGACUUAUACGAUUUGGGAAACGAGGAAAGUUGAGUCCAAGGUUUAUUGGACCGUUCAAAGUUCUUCAGAAGAUAGGGAACCAAGCUUACAAGCUGGAAUUGCCCGAAGAACUCAAUGGUAUUCAUAACACCUUCCAUGUGUGUUAUUUGAGGAAAUUCACGGGAGAUGUUCCCGACAUAAUUCCAAUCUCAGAGUUAAGGAUGGAUGAAAAUAAAAGGUUGAUCGAAGAGCCUGAGGCAAUUGUUGACCGUAAGACUAAGAAGUUACGACGCAAGAUGGUCGACUUGGUGCUAGUCCGAUGGAAACAUUCGAAUGGGCCGAAUCUCACUUGGGAAACAGAGGAUGACAUGAUGAGUCGCUAUCCACAUCUGUUUGCUGAUGCAUGAUUCCGGGACGGAAUCAUCCUAAGGGGGAGAGAAUUGUAACGCCCGGGUUUCAGGGCUAAGCAUUUUUGUCAAUGUAAUAGUCUAGGUCAACUCUUGUAACUCUUUUUGAAGUAAUAAAGAUGAAAUAUUUGAGUAUUAUGUGAAUUAUAUGUGUUUAUUAUUUAAUUAUAAAUGUAUAAUUAAUAAAGAAUAAAAAUGAGCGUCAAAAUUAAAGUGUGAGAUAAUCCCGAUAUCUCUACAUAAAGUUGUAGAAUAUGUCUCAAGGUUUCCGUGCAUAUAAGGAACGCCGAAAUCCGAGUUAUAACGAAGAAGUUAUGACCCGUCGAAGUUUCACGACAGAACCGGCACGAUACCGGGAAGCGUGAAUAGUGAAUU